This 367-nucleotide long non-coding RNA is filed under the name Piliocolobus tephrosceles (Ugandan red Colobus). RNAcentral's name for it is "lncRNA (ENSPTEG00000021822.1)". The record is from RNAcentral. Lineage: Eukaryota; Metazoa; Chordata; Mammalia; Primates; Cercopithecidae.
CAUCUGCUUGGUGCAAAUGUCCAGGCACCUCUUCUGACUCAGUGAAUCGAGGAAUGAGACAAAGCAUCUUGUUCUGCACUGUGCGUGAGUCUUCAGGCAGCGGGACCGGUAGCAAACAUUGGCAGGAACUGGAUCUGUAAGAGUGAUUUUCCAGUGAUUGCUUUGGCCUGUACAACCAGAGAACAGGAUUCUUCCCUUCUUUUUGGCCACCAAAUGCCUACGUGCACCACACAUUCCAGUGUGCUGAGAAGGGCAGAGCGUCUUGGAUGAUGAUGGACGUCCCACCGGGCAGGAUGAAGGCAGAGCGUGUGGCAUCUCCACCUCAAGGGUGCAGCCUGAUCUUCCUCGUCUCCCUUGCCAGCCAGCA